Molecule: ribosomal RNA, 253 nt
Filed under: uncultured bacterium
Lineage: Bacteria
Description: partial 16S ribosomal RNA
Rfam family: Bacterial small subunit ribosomal RNA
Source: RNAcentral
UACGGAGGGUGCAAGCGUUAUCCGGAUUCACUGGGUUUAAAGGGUGCGUAGGUGGGCAGUUAAGUCAGUGGUGAAAUCUCCGGGCUUAACCCGGAAACUGCCAUUGAUACUAUCUGACUUGAAUACCGUGGAGGUGAGCGGAAUAUGUCAUGUAGCGGUGAAAUGCUUAGAUAUGACAUAGAACACCAAUUGCGAAGGCAGCUCACUACGCGAAUAUUGACACUGAGGCACGAAAGCGUGGGGAUCAAACAGG